GCAGAGUAGAAUUUUGUGCGCUGCAUUAUUUCAGUAAUGCUAAGUGCCGAUCGAACGGGGAGUUGUCGGUCGGACGAAAAGAUUUUUCUUGCGGUGCAAAAUUCGCAUCCCGCUGC
This 116-nucleotide non-coding RNA is filed under the name pig gut metagenome. Its description in RNAcentral is "THF riboswitch". It matches the Rfam family "THF (Tetrahydrofolate) riboswitch aptamer". Rfam says of the family: THF riboswitch presents a pseudoknot that joins P1-P2 and the loop of P3 and two THF binding. The record is from RNAcentral.